AGUGAACGCUGGCGGUAGGCCUAACACAUGCAAGUCGAACGGCAGCACAGUAAGAGCUUGCUCUUACGGGUGGCGAGUGGUGGACGGGUGAGGAAUACAUCGGAAUCUACUUUUUCGUGGGGGAUAACGUAGGGAAACUUACGCUAAUACCGCAUACGACCUACGGGUGAAAGCAGGGGAUCUUCGGACCUUGCGCGAUUGAAUGAGACGAUGUCGGAUUAGCUAGUUGGCGGGGUAAAGGCCCACCAAGGCGACGAUCCGUAGCUGGUCUGAGAGGAUGAUCGGCCACACUGGAACUGGGACACGGUCCAGACUCCUACGGGAGGCAGCAGUGGGGAAUAUUGGACAAUGGGCGCAAGCCUGAUCCAGCCAUACCGCGUGGGUGAAGAAGGCCUUCGGGUUGUAAAGCCCUUUUGUUGGGAAAGAAAAGCAGCAGGUUAAUACCCCGCUGUUCUGACGGUACCCAAAGAAUAAGCACCGGCUAACUUCGUG
RNAcentral lists this ribosomal RNA (492 nucleotides) under uncultured bacterium. RNAcentral's name for it is "partial 16S ribosomal RNA". It matches the Rfam family "Bacterial small subunit ribosomal RNA", at positions 29 to 507 of the family's 1533-position model. The record is from RNAcentral.